UAUCCCUACGGGGCGCAGCAGUGAGGAAUAUUGGUCAAUGGGCGGAAGCCUGAACCAGCCAAGUCGCGUGAGGGAAGAAGGCCCUGCGGGUCGCAGACCUCUUUGGACGGGGAGCAAGGCCGCCGACGUGUCGGCGGAAGGAGAGUACCCGUAGAACAAGCAUCGGCUAACUCCGUGCCAGCAGCCGCGGUAAUACGGAGGAUGCGAGCGUUAUCCGGAUUUAUUGGGUUUAAAGGGUGCGUAGGCGGUAUUUUAAGUUAGUGGUAAAACGACGGGGCUUCACCUUGUUUGGCCAUUAAAAAUGG
RNAcentral lists this ribosomal RNA (305 nucleotides) under uncultured bacterium. RNAcentral's name for it is "bacterial SSU rRNA". It matches the Rfam family "Bacterial small subunit ribosomal RNA", at positions 334 to 636 of the family's 1533-position model. The record is from RNAcentral.